Molecule: transfer RNA, 78 nt
Filed under: Trichonephila clavipes
Lineage: Eukaryota; Metazoa; Arthropoda; Arachnida; Araneae; Nephilidae
Description: tRNA-Trp
Rfam family: tRNA
About the family: Transfer RNA (tRNA) molecules are approximately 80 nucleotides in length. Their secondary structure includes four short double-helical elements and three loops (D, anti-codon, and T loops).
Source: RNAcentral
GGUAGCGUGGCCGAGCGGUGUAAGGCGCAGAUGUAAGGCGCCAGACCGAAAACGUGGUUUCGUAUCCCACCGCUGCCA